GCUACUACCGAUUGGAUGGUUUAGUGAGGACUCCUGAUUGGCGCCGCCGCCCCGGCAACGGAGCAGCGGACUGCCGAAAAGUUGUUCAAACUUGAUCAUUUAGAGGAAGUAAAAGUCGUAACAAGGUUUCCGUAGGUGAACCUGCAGAAGGAUCAUUCCGCAUCAAACCAUUCGAGUGGGGUCUUGGUGAAGGCGUGAUCGUUGUCAUGUUUGAACCAGGGCUCCGCAAGAGGGGUUAAGUCGUAACAAGGUAUCCGUAGGUGAACCUGCAGAAGGAUCA
RNAcentral lists this unclassified non-coding RNA (280 nucleotides) under sea anemone metagenome. RNAcentral describes it as "partial contains small subunit ribosomal RNA and internal transcribed spacer 1". The stretch from base 1 to 158 matches the Rfam family "Eukaryotic small subunit ribosomal RNA", at positions 1678 to 1831 of the family's 1831-position model. The record is from RNAcentral.